AUAUAUUUGUGAGAUAUGGAGUGUAUCCCUAGAAGCAGCUCCAGUUAUUUGAUAGAUUAGACUUAGAGGAACAGCAGAGUUAGUCCAUACCAGUCAGAUCUUGUGAACAGGUUGUACGCAGCUAUUUCCUGAGCUGUCAAACUGACACGGCUUGAUGUGAGAUGUCGUCUGUCCAAGUUAUUUUGCAUGCACACUACAGUGACGGACACAGGUUGGUC
Molecule: non-coding RNA, 218 nt
Organism: Pelobates cultripes (western spadefoot toad)
Lineage: Eukaryota; Metazoa; Chordata; Amphibia; Anura; Pelobatidae
Source: the annotation of a GenBank genome assembly